CUACGGGCCGCUCCAGUGAGGAAUAUUGCACAAUGGGGGAAACCCUGAUGCAGCAACGCCGCGUGGAGGAUGACGCAUUUCGGUGUGUAAACUCCUUUUAUCAGAGAAGAAAAUGACGUUAUCUGAUGAAUAAGCUCCGGCUAACUCCGUGCCAGCAGCCGCGGUAAUACGGAGGGAGCAAGCGUUAUUCGGAAUCACUGGGCGUAAAGGACGCGUAGGCGGGUUUUUAAGUCUGGUGUGAAAUCCUAUGGCUCAACCAUAGAACUGCACUUGAAACUGGGGACCUAGAGUAUGGAAGGGGCAGGUGGAAUUAGUGGUGUAGGGGUAAAAUCCGUAGAUAUCACUAGGAAUACCGAAAGCGAAGGCGACCUGCUGGGACAUUACUGACGCUGAGGCGUGAAAGCGUGGGGAGCAAACAGGAUUAGAUACCCGUGUAGUC
This 439-nucleotide ribosomal RNA is filed under the name uncultured bacterium. Its description in RNAcentral is "partial 16S ribosomal RNA". It matches the Rfam family "Bacterial small subunit ribosomal RNA", at positions 339 to 795 of the family's 1533-position model. The record is from RNAcentral.